RNAcentral lists this ribosomal RNA (253 nucleotides) under uncultured bacterium. RNAcentral's name for it is "partial 16S ribosomal RNA". It matches the Rfam family "Bacterial small subunit ribosomal RNA", at positions 524 to 776 of the family's 1533-position model. The record is from RNAcentral.
UACAGAGGGUGCAAGCGUUGUUCGGAAUUACUGGGCGUAAAGCGCGCGUAGGUGGUUCGUUAAGUUGGAUGUGAAAGCCCCGGGCUCAACCUGGGAACUGCAUCCAAAACUGGCGAGCUAGAGUACGGUAGAGGGUGGUGGAAUUUCCUGUGUAGCGGUGAAAUGCGUAGAUAUAGGAAGGAACACCAGUGGCGAAGGCGACCACCUGGACUGAUACUGACACUGAGGUGCGAAAGCGUGGGGAGCAAACAGG